This 433-nucleotide ribosomal RNA is filed under the name uncultured bacterium. RNAcentral's name for it is "partial 16S ribosomal RNA". It matches the Rfam family "Bacterial small subunit ribosomal RNA", at positions 29 to 507 of the family's 1533-position model. The record is from RNAcentral.
AACGAACGCUGGCGGCAGGCCUAACACAUGCAAGUCGAGCGAGAUCUUCGGGUCUAGCGGCGGACGGGUGAGUAACGCGUGGGAAUAUGCCUCUUGGUACGGAAUAGCCUCGGGAAACUGGGAGUAAUACCGUAUGUGCCCUUUGGGGGAAAGAUUUAUCGCCAAGAGAUUAGCCCGCGUUGGAUUAGGUAGUUGGUGGGGUAAUGGCCUACCAAGCCGACGAUCCAUAGCUGGUUUGAGAGGAUGAUCAGCCACACUGGGACUGAGACACGGCCCAGACUCCUACGGGAGGCAGCAGUGGGGAAUCUUAGACAAUGGGGGCAACCCUGAUCUAGCCAUGCCGCGUGAGUGAUGAAGGCCUUAGGGUUGUAAAGCUCUUUCAGCUGGGAAGAUAAUGACGGUACCAGCAGAAGAAGCCACGGCUAACUCCGUG